Long non-coding RNA from Scylla paramamosain (green mud crab), 830 nucleotides. RefSeq lists it as uncharacterized. NCBI's taxonomy places the organism in Eukaryota, Metazoa, Arthropoda, Malacostraca, Decapoda, Portunidae. The record is from RefSeq and is a predicted model, not a curated record. The transcript has 3 exons.
GGAGGUGCCGGUGGUGGGGUCGCCAGUUCCGGAGUACGAGGUGGAGGAGGAAAAGGAAGAGGAGGAGACGAGGAGGAGGCACGGAUAAGGAAGAAGAAAAGAUUAUUAGCUGUAGCCCUCCCUCCAGCUGAUAAGGGGAUAUUAAGGAGCCCUUCCUACAGGUUCGUUCGAUGCAAGGAGUUGGCACAGGAGGCGUCCGAGGCUGUGUAGAGCGGCCGUCUGAACCUGGUGCCACAGCUUACUAUGUUCAACAGAUGCCUGAAGGAAGUGUGUGUAAGGGAGGAUAAAGAGAUCAUGCUGGCCUAUGCAGACGAUGUCGCUGUCGUGACAGGAAGCCAACAAGAUCUUCAAGAGGCCAUGACAAGAUGGAAUGAUGUUUUAAAUAGGGAAGGAAUGAGAAUGAACAAACAAAAAACUUAUUUACUAGUGGACAAGCAACAAGUGAUGGUGUGGCUCUGAGCCACUGUAGUAGGGAUGUUAUGGUUUAAGUGUAGGAAGUUGCAAAUGCUCACCUAACAAUUGCACCUUAGUAGAAAAACACAAACAGGAAGUUUAUGCAAGUUUUUAUCCUUAUAUAAAAUGUUGUAUUGCAUCAAACCUCCAUACAUUACUGUCUCUAUCCAGUAUGAGACCGGUGUUCAGGAAGCACAAGCAUGUGCUGAAUAACAAGAAGCCGGCAUUGGUGAAGGUGACAACAUUUCAUCUAUUUAUACAUACUUUUUAUUAUUAAAGCUUAUCUUAUAAUUAUUUCUGAAGAGAUUGACUAAUUUUUGUAGUAUUUAUGACUUAGAACUAUGAUAAAGCUAUGAAUUGAUAUAAUUCCUGAUUUG